Molecule: ribosomal RNA, 468 nt
Filed under: uncultured bacterium
Lineage: Bacteria
Description: partial 16S ribosomal RNA
Rfam family: Bacterial small subunit ribosomal RNA
Source: RNAcentral
GACGAACGCUGGCGGCGUGCUUAACACAUGCAAGUCGAACGGAAAGGCCCUGCUUUUGUGGGGUGCUCGAGUGGCGAACGGGUGAGUAACACGUGAGUAACCUGCCCUUGACUUUGGGAUAACUUCAGGAAACUGGGGCUAAUACCGGAUAGGAGCUCCUGCUGCAUGGUGGGGGUUGGAAAGUUUCGGCUGUUGGGGAUGGACGCGCGGCUUAUCAGCUUGUUGGUGGGGUAGUGGCUUACCAAGGCUUUGACGGGUAGCCGGCCUGAGAGGGUGACCGGCCACAUUGGGACUGAGAUACGGCCCAGACUCCUACGGGAGGCAGCAGUGGGGAAUAUUGCACAAUGGGCGGAAGCCUGAUGCAGCAACGCCGCGUGCGGGAUGACGGCCUUCGGGUUGUAAACCGCUUUCGCCUGUGACGAAGCGUGAGUGACGGUAAUGGGUAAAGAAGCACCGGCUAACUACGUG